GUCUAAACGACUCUCGGCAACGGAUAUCUCGGCUCUCGCAUCGAUGAAGAACGUAGCGAAAUGCGAUACUUGGUGUGAAUUGCAGAAUCCCGUGAACCAUCGAGUCUUUGAACGCAAGUUGCGCCCGAAGCCUUCUGGCCGAGGGCACGUCUGCCUGGGCGUCA
Molecule: ribosomal RNA, 164 nt
Filed under: Veronica kaiseri
Lineage: Eukaryota; Viridiplantae; Streptophyta; Magnoliopsida; Lamiales; Plantaginaceae
Description: 5.8S ribosomal RNA
Rfam family: 5.8S ribosomal RNA
About the family: 5.8S ribosomal RNA (5.8S rRNA) is a component of the large subunit of the eukaryotic ribosome.
Source: RNAcentral